Chlorocebus sabaeus (green monkey) is the source of this 60-nucleotide small nuclear RNA. Its record names the gene U7. It matches the Rfam family "U7 small nuclear RNA". From Rfam's summary of the family: Animal histone pre-mRNAs are spliced by a different mechanism than nuclear pre-mRNAs and self-splicing introns. This processing involves the U7 snRNP, which contains only one RNA species: U7. Lineage: Eukaryota; Metazoa; Chordata; Mammalia; Primates; Cercopithecidae. The record is from Ensembl.
AAGUGUCACAGCUCUUUUAGAAUUUCUCUAGCAGGUUUUCCGGUUUUCACUGGAGCCCCU